RNAcentral lists this ribosomal RNA (732 nucleotides) under Massilia sp. RNAcentral describes it as "bacterial SSU rRNA". It matches the Rfam family "Bacterial small subunit ribosomal RNA", at positions 70 to 799 of the family's 1533-position model. The record is from RNAcentral. Lineage: Bacteria; Pseudomonadati; Pseudomonadota; Betaproteobacteria; Burkholderiales; Oxalobacteraceae.
CAGCGCGGGGCAACCUGGCGGCGAGUGGCGAACGGGUGAGUAAUAUAUCGGAACGUACCCAGAAGUGGGGGAUAACGUAGCGAAAGUUACGCUAAUACCGCAUACGAUCUACGGAUGAAAGUGGGGGACCUUCGGGCCUCAUGCUUUUGGAGCGGCCGAUAUCUGAUUAGCUAGUUGGUGGGGUAAAGGCUCACCAAGGCGACGAUCAGUAGCUGGUCUGAGAGGACGACCAGCCACACUGGAACUGAGACACGGUCCAGACUCCUACGGGAGGCAGCAGUGGGGAAUUUUGGACAAUGGGCGCAAGCCUGAUCCAGCAAUGCCGCGUGAGUGAAGAAGGCCUUCGGGUUGUAAAGCUCUUUUGUCAGGGAAGAAACGGCCCAGGCUAAUAUCCUUUGCUAAUGACGGUACCUGAAGAAUAAGCACCGGCUAACUACGUGCCAGCAGCCGCGGUAAUACGUAGGGUGCAAGCGUUAAUCGGAAUUACUGGGCGUAAAGCGUGCGCAGGCGGUUUUGUAAGUCUGACGUGAAAGCCCCGGGCUCAACCUGGGAAUUGCGUUGGAGACUGCAAGGCUUGAAUCUGGCAGAGGGGGGUAGAAUUCCACGUGUAGCAGUGAAAUGCGUAGAGAUGUGGAGGAACACCGAUGGCGAAGGCAGCCCCCUGGGUCAAGAUUGACGCUCAUGCACGAAAGCGUGGGGAGCAAACAGGAUUAGAUACCCUGGUAGUCCACG